UUGACCUCAAAUCAGGUAGGACUACCCGCUGAACUUAAGCAUAUCAAUAAGCGGAGGAGAAAAAACUAACAAGGAUUCCCCUAGUAACGGCGAGUGAAGCGGGAUGAGCUCAAAUUUGAAAGCUGGCACCUUUGGUGUCCGCAUUGUAAUCUCGAGAAGUAGUUUCUGUGCUGGACCAUGUACAAGUUCCUUGGAAUAGGACAUCAGAGAGGGUGAGAAUCCCGUACUUGACAUGGAUCCCAGUGCUUUGUGAUCUGCUCUCUAUGAGUCGAGUUGUUUGGGAAUGCAGCUCAAAAUGGGUGGUAAAUUCCAUCUAAAGCUAAAUAUUGGGGAGAGACCGAUAGCGAACAAGUACCGUGAGGGAAAGAUGAAAAGCACUUUGGAAAGAGAGUUAAACAGUACGUGAAAUUGUCAAAAGGGAAGCGCUUGAGGUUAGACAUGCAUGCAGUAUUCAACCUUUCUUUUGGAGGGUGUAUUUGCUGUUUUGCAGGCCAGCAUCGGUUUUGUCUGCUGGAUAAUAGUAGGAGAAAUGUGGCAUCCUCGGAUG
This 547-nucleotide ribosomal RNA is filed under the name Tilletia indica. Its description in RNAcentral is "eukaryotic LSU rRNA". It matches the Rfam family "Eukaryotic large subunit ribosomal RNA", at positions 1 to 551 of the family's 3401-position model. Lineage: Eukaryota; Fungi; Basidiomycota; Exobasidiomycetes; Tilletiales; Tilletiaceae. The record is from RNAcentral.